RNAcentral lists this ribosomal RNA (327 nucleotides) under uncultured Rhodosporidium. RNAcentral's name for it is "eukaryotic LSU rRNA". The stretch from base 1 to 59 matches the Rfam family "5.8S ribosomal RNA", at positions 96 to 154 of the family's 154-position model. Lineage: Eukaryota; Fungi; Basidiomycota; Microbotryomycetes; Sporidiobolales. The record is from RNAcentral.
AUCUUUGAACGCACCUUGCGCUCCAUGGUAUUCCGUGGAGCAUGCCUGUUUGAGUGUCAUGAAUACUUCAACCCUCCUCUUUUCUAGUGAAAGAGAAGGUGCUUGGUUUCUGAGCGUUUUGCUGGCCUCACGGUCGAGCUCGCUCGUAAUGCAUUAGCAUCCGCAAUCGAACUUCGGAUUGACUUGGCGUAAUAGACUAUUCGCUGAGGAAUUCUAAUCUUCGGAUUAGAGCCGGGUUAGGUUAAAGGAAGCUUCUAAUCCUAAUGUCUAUAUUUUAAGAUUAGAUCUCAAAUCAGGUAGGACUACCCGCUGAACUUAAGCAUAUCA